CGCGCCCCGGUCAGGCGGGGCGACCCGCUGAAUUUUAGCAUGUUCAUUAGCGGAAGGAAAAAAACCUACGAAGGAUCCCCCUAGUAACGGCGAGCGACGGGGAAAAUUCUAA
Molecule: ribosomal RNA, 112 nt
Filed under: Acacia platycarpa
Lineage: Eukaryota; Viridiplantae; Streptophyta; Magnoliopsida; Fabales; Fabaceae
Description: partial large subunit ribosomal RNA
Rfam family: Eukaryotic large subunit ribosomal RNA
Source: RNAcentral